AUUGAACGCUGGCGGCAUGCCUUACACAUGCAAGUCGAACGGCAGCACGGGAGCAAUCCUGGUGGCGAGUGGCGAACGGGUGAGUAAUAUAUCGGAACGUGCCCAGUCGUGGGGAUAACGUAGCGAAAGCUACGCUAAUACCGCAUACGAUCUAUGGAUGAAAGCGGGGGAUCGCAAGACCUCGCGCGAUUGGAGCGGCCGAUAUCAGAUUAGGUAGUUGGUGAGGUAAAGGCUCACCAAGCCGACGAUCUGUAGCUGGUCUGAGAGGACGACCAGCCACACUGGGACUGAGACACGGCCCAGACUCCUACGGAGGCAGCAGUGGGAAUUUUGGACAAUGGGCGCAAGCCUGAUCCAGCAAUGCCGCGUGCAGGAUGAAGGCC
Molecule: ribosomal RNA, 383 nt
Filed under: uncultured bacterium
Lineage: Bacteria
Description: bacterial SSU rRNA
Rfam family: Bacterial small subunit ribosomal RNA
Source: RNAcentral